AACGACCACAUCAUGUUGGAACACCGGUCCUCGUGCGACCACCGAAGUUAAGCAACGUCGAGCCUGAUCAGUACGUAGAUGGGUGACCGCUUAGGAAUACCAGGUGCUGUAAG
Acanthosepion pharaonis is the source of this 113-nucleotide non-coding RNA. NCBI's taxonomy places the organism in Eukaryota, Metazoa, Mollusca, Cephalopoda, Sepiida, Sepiidae. The record is from the annotation of a GenBank genome assembly.